Molecule: ribosomal RNA, 425 nt
Filed under: Fusobacteriota bacterium
Lineage: Bacteria; Fusobacteriati; Fusobacteriota
Description: Fusobacteria bacterium partial 16S ribosomal RNA
Rfam family: Bacterial small subunit ribosomal RNA
Source: RNAcentral
UGAGGAAUAUUGGUCAAUGGGCGAGAGCCUGAACCAGCCAAGUCGCGUGAAGGAAGACUGCCCGCAAGGGUUGUAAACUUCUUUUGUAUGGGAUUAAAGUCAUCUACGUGUAGGCGUUUGCAGUUACCAUACGAAUAAGCAUCGGCUAACUCCGUGCCAGCAGCCGCGGUAAUACGGAGGAUGCGAGCGUUAUCCGGAAUUAUUGGGUUUAAAGGGUGCGUAGGUUGCAAGGGAAGUCAGGGGUGAAAAGCUGUAGCUCAACUAUGGUCUUGCCUUUGAAACUCUCUAGCUAGAGUGUACUGGAGGUACGUGGAACGUGUGGUGUAGCGGUGAAAUGCAUAGAUAUCACACAGAACUCCGAUUGCGCAGGCAGCGUACUACAUUACAACUGACACUGAAGCACGAAAGCGUGGGUAUCAAACAGG